Molecule: ribosomal RNA, 460 nt
Filed under: uncultured bacterium
Lineage: Bacteria
Description: partial 16S ribosomal RNA
Rfam family: Bacterial small subunit ribosomal RNA
Source: RNAcentral
CCUACGGGUGGCAGCAGUGAGGAAUAUUGGUCAAUGGGCGAGAGCCUGAACCAGCCAAGUCGCGUGAGGGAGUACUGCCCUAUGGAUCGUAAACCUCUUUUAUAAGGGAAUAAAGUGUGGGACGUGUCCUAUUUUGUAUGUACCUUAUGAAUAAGGAUCGGCUAACUCCGUGCCAGCAGCCGCGGUAAUACGGAGGAUCCGAGCGUUAUCCGGAUUUAUUGGGUUUAAAGGGUGCGUAGGCGGCCUGUUAAGUCAGCGGUGAAAGUCUGUGGCUCAACCAUAGAAUUGCCGUUGAAACUGGGGGGCUUGAGUAUGUUUGAGGCAGGCGGAAUGCGUGGUGUAGCGGUGAAAUGCUUAGAUAUCACGCAGAACCCCGAUUGCGAAGGCAGCCUGCCAAGCCAUGACUGACGCUGAUGCACGAAAGCGUGGGGAUCAAACAGGAUUAGAUACCCUUGUAGUC